This 253-nucleotide ribosomal RNA is filed under the name uncultured bacterium. RNAcentral's name for it is "partial 16S ribosomal RNA". It matches the Rfam family "Bacterial small subunit ribosomal RNA", at positions 524 to 776 of the family's 1533-position model. The record is from RNAcentral.
UACGUAGGUGGCGAGCGUUGUCCGGAAUUACUGGGUGUAAAGGGCGUGUAGGCGGGAUAAUAAGUCAGAUGUGAAAUUCCGAGGCUUAACCUCGGAGCUGCAACUGAAACUGUAAUUCUUGAGUGCUGGAGAGGAUAGUGGAAUUCCUAGUGUAGCGGUGAAAUGCGUAGAUAUUAGGAGGAACACCAGUGGCGAAGGCGGCUAUCUGGACAGUAACUGACGCUGAGGCGCGAAAGCGUGGGGAGCAAACAGG